GAUGAAUGCUGGCGGCGUGCUUAACACAUGCAAGUCGAGCGAGAGAGUUUCUUCGGAAACAAUCUAGCGGCGGACGGGUGAGUAACACGUGGGCAACCUGCCUUGUAGUGGGGGAUAGCCCUCCGAAAGGAGGAUUAAUACCGCAUAUUGUCACAUUGAGGCAUCUCAAAGUGAUAAAAGGAGUAAUCCGCUACAAGAUGGGCCCGCGGCGCAUUAGCUAGUUGGUGAGGUAACGGCUCACCAAGGCGACGAUGCGUAGCCGACCUGAGAGGGUGAUCGGCCACAUUGGGACUGAGACACGGCCCAGACUCCUACGGGAGGCAGCAGUGGGGAAUAUUGCACAAUGGGGGAAACCCUGAUGCAGCAACGCCGCGUGAGUGAUGAAGGUCUUCGGAUUGUAAAGCUCUGUCUUCGGGGACGAUAAUGACGGUACCCGAGGAGGAAGCCACGGCUAACUACGUGCCAGCAGCCGCCGUAA
RNAcentral lists this ribosomal RNA (478 nucleotides) under uncultured bacterium. RNAcentral's name for it is "partial 16S ribosomal RNA". It matches the Rfam family "Bacterial small subunit ribosomal RNA", at positions 28 to 523 of the family's 1533-position model. The record is from RNAcentral.